Molecule: ribosomal RNA, 317 nt
Filed under: Corallococcus coralloides
Lineage: Bacteria; Pseudomonadati; Myxococcota; Myxococcia; Myxococcales; Myxococcaceae
Description: bacterial SSU rRNA
Rfam family: Bacterial small subunit ribosomal RNA
Source: RNAcentral
AACUGAAGAGUUUGAUCAUGGCUCAGAUUGAACGCUGGCGGCAGGCCUAACACAUGCAAGUCGAGCGGUAGCACAGAAGAGCUUGCUCUUUGGGUGACGAGCGGCGGACGGGUGAGUAAUGUCUGGGAAACUGCCUGAUGGAGGGGGAUAACUACUGGAAACGGUAGCUAAUACCGCAUAACGUCGCAAGACCAAAGUGGGGGACCUUCGGGCCUCAUGCCAUCAGAUGUGCCCAGAUGGGAUUAGCUAGUAGGUGAGGUAAUGGCUCACCUAGGCGACGAUCCCUAGCUGGUCUGAGAGGAUGACCAGCCACACUG